This 675-nucleotide ribosomal RNA is filed under the name Rapana rapiformis. RNAcentral's name for it is "partial 16S ribosomal RNA". The stretch from base 1 to 512 matches the Rfam family "Bacterial large subunit ribosomal RNA", at positions 1944 to 2925 of the family's 2925-position model. Lineage: Eukaryota; Metazoa; Mollusca; Gastropoda; Neogastropoda; Muricidae. The record is from RNAcentral.
GACCGUGCAAAGGUAGCAUAAUCAUUUGCCUUAUAAUUGAAGGCUAGUAUGAAUGGUUUGACGAGAAUUAAGCUGUCUCUCUCCAAAUAAAUAUAACUUUAUUUAUAGGUGAAGAAGCCUAUAUUUAAUUGAAAGACAAGAAGACCCUAUCGAGCUUUAAAAGAUUUAAUAGAUUUAUUAUAUAUUUAUUAAAAAACUAAAACUAUUAAAAAUUUUGGUUGGGGCGACUAAGGAACAAACAAAGCUUCCUUUAUCUUUAAUAAGACUUACAGGUAUUGAUCCAAUAAAUUUGAUUAAAGGAAUUAGUUACCGUAGGGAUAACAGCAUAAUCUCCUUUGAGAGCUCCCAUCGAAAAGGAGGUUUGUGACCUCGAUGUUGGACCAGAAUACCCAGAAGAUGUAGCCGUCUUCAAUGGUUGGUCUGUUCGACCAUUAAAAUUCUACGUGAUCUGAGUUCAGACCGGCGUGAGCCAGGUCAGUUUCUAUCUUCAAUUCCCAUAAUGGCUUUAGUACGAAAGGACCAGGCUAUUACAAGAUAACUUGUAUUUUAUUGAAUAAAUAUAAAAAAUUCUUAAGUAAAUAAGACAAUCAAAUUAGCAAAGAUUAAUGCAAUUGACUUAGGAUCAAUAGACAUAGGUGGAAUUCCUUUAUUUGAUAUAUAGAGGUGGCAGAAAAA